GCCUCGAUGGCUCAGUGGUAGAGCGAGAUCUUGGUAAGAUCUAGGUCGGGGGUCCGAUUCCCCCUCGAGGCU
Molecule: transfer RNA, 72 nt
Filed under: Candidatus Levyibacteriota bacterium
Lineage: Bacteria; Candidatus Levyibacteriota
Also listed under: 1 other name
Description: tRNA-Thr
Rfam family: tRNA
About the family: Transfer RNA (tRNA) molecules are approximately 80 nucleotides in length. Their secondary structure includes four short double-helical elements and three loops (D, anti-codon, and T loops).
Source: RNAcentral